Molecule: ribosomal RNA, 468 nt
Filed under: uncultured bacterium
Lineage: Bacteria
Description: partial 16S ribosomal RNA
Rfam family: Bacterial small subunit ribosomal RNA
Source: RNAcentral
GACGAACGCUGGCGGCGUGCUUAACACAUGCAAGUCGAACGGAAAGGCCCUGCUUUUGUGGGGUGCUCGAGUGGCGAACGGGUGAGUAACACGUGAGUACCCUGACCUUGACUUUGGGAUAACUUCAGGAAACUGGGGCUAAUACCGGAUAGGAGCCCCUGCUGCAUGGUGGGGGCUGGAAAGUUUCGGCGGUUGGGGAUGGACCCGCGGCUUAUCAGCUUGUUGGUGGGGUAGUGGCUUACCAAGGCUUUGACGGGUAGCCGGCCUGAGAGGGUGACCGGCCACAUUGGGACUGAGAUACGGCCCAGACUCCUACGGGAGGCAGCAGUGGGGAAUAUUGCACAAUGGGCGGAAGCCUGAUGCAGCAACGCCGCGUGCGGGAUGACGGCCUUCGGUUUGUAAACCGCUUUCGCCUGUGACGAAGCGUGAGUGACGGUAAUGGGUAAAGAAGCACCGGCGAACUACGUG